UUGGCACUGAACCAUCAUGCCUUUAUUUUUUUACACCAAUUCUUUAUACUUGUCUAACACUUUUAUUUCAUUUAAACACAAAAUUAACACCAUCCUUCCAAAAUACAGAAGAAUAACAUGUGGGAGGCUUUGGUAGCUGUUGAUAACAGUCUGUGAAGAUCUCUUCUUUCUUCUGCUUAUUCACCACUUACAUUGGCACAAUACUGAGUUGUUUGAGAAGCUAUUUGUCAGAUGUCAUGAAGAAGAACGCAAUGUGACAGUAACCUGCUCCUUGUUCACAACCUUCCGAGUUAAAGAUGCGAACAGCCUGUGGAAUUACAAAUACCUUCACAUGCAAUUAAAGACUGUGUUUCUAUUCAUGUGCUCUAUUCCCUGCUGUUAUGUGAUCACUCUGUUAUGAACUACUUUCUGACUGGGAAGUGAAUGUCAAUUCACCUUUCAUUUGAUGUAGCAGAAAGCUAAUGAGUGUUAUGAACCUCUGUUGUACACAGCCAUGCAGUUUGGGAACAGUAGCUCCCUAUCUUUGGGCUACUCCUCAGGAAAUGAACGAAUCUUCCCUGACUGUUUAAAGUGAGUUGCUGCAAGGUAUGCUGCUAGCAUUUAAAAUGUGCAACUUAAAAAUCUGUUCCCUAUUUAUGCUAAAUCUGUACCUCUGAGGAAUAUUAUUCAUUUCAUGCUGUCAUCCUUCAUUUUUCUGAACUAUGUAUGUUUAAUUCCACUCCAAGUUAACCAAAUUUUUCCUCUUUCAAACUGUUCUUAAAACUGUUCAAGAGCAAAAAGGGAGUGAAAGAAGAAUGAAUAAUUGUCUUGUAAUGAUUUAUAUUAUACUAAAAUCCCUUAAUACAUAGUACUUAUAAGGGCUUUUUGGAACCCCUCACGCAAUUUCUUCAUAUAAAUUAAAGUUCAUUCUUU
This is a long non-coding RNA of Oxyura jamaicensis (ruddy duck), 912 nucleotides long. RefSeq lists it as uncharacterized. The transcript is spliced from 3 exons. Lineage: Eukaryota; Metazoa; Chordata; Aves; Anseriformes; Anatidae. The record is from RefSeq and is a predicted model, not a curated record.